RNAcentral lists this small RNA (677 nucleotides) under Pan troglodytes (chimpanzee). RNAcentral's name for it is "processed transcript". The record is from RNAcentral. Lineage: Eukaryota; Metazoa; Chordata; Mammalia; Primates; Hominidae.
ACUUCCAACCUCGUGGGUUUCCGGUGCCACAAGGGAGUCUUCUUCCCAGCGUUCUUCCCAGUGGCAUGUACUGGCAUUGAAAACAUUGACGAAGCUAUUACAUUGCUUGAACAAAAUAAUUGGGACUUAGUGGCAGCUAUCAAUGGUGUAAUACCACAGGAAAAUGGCAUUCUACAAAGUGAAUAUGGAGGUGAGACCAUACCAGGACCUGCAUUUAAUCCAGCAAGUCAUCCAGCUUCAGCUCCUACUUCCUCUUCUUCUUCAGCGUUUCGACCUGUAAUGCCAUCCAGGCAGAUUGUAGAAAGGCAACCUCGGAUGCUGGACUUCAGGGUUGAAUACAGAGACAGAAAUGUUGAUGUGGUACUUGAAGACAGCUGUACUGUUGGAGAGAUUAAACAGAUUCUAGAAAAUGAACUUCAGAUACCUGUGUCCAAAAUGCUGUUAAAAGGCUGGAAGACGGGAGAUGUGGAAGACAGUACGGUCCUAAAAUCGCUACACUUGCCAAAAAACAACAGUCUUUAUGUCCUUACACCAGAUUUGCCACCACCUUCAUCAUCUAGUCAUGCUGGUGCCCUGCAGGAGUCAUUAAAUCAAAACUUCAUGCUGAUCAUCACCCACCGAGAAGUCCAGCGGGAGUACAACCUGAACUUCUCAGGAAGCAGUACUAUUCAAGAGGU